Long non-coding RNA from Alligator mississippiensis (American alligator), 728 nucleotides. RefSeq lists it as uncharacterized. NCBI's taxonomy places the organism in Eukaryota, Metazoa, Chordata, Crocodylia, Alligatoridae. The transcript is spliced from 3 exons. The record is from RefSeq and is a predicted model, not a curated record.
GCCAGCAGCCAGAGAGACAGGAGCUAAGAUCCUGCAUGCUGCCUAACGUCUGUGAAGUCUGGGGAGACAUCUUUUGUGGGGCCUGGGUGGAGGACGCACAGUGAGUGAAGGAUGCCUGGCAUCAGGAGCACCAGCUGCAGUGGCAGUGAGAGUGGUGGGCCCCCCACCAAUGAAGCCCCAGGCCCACUGGUUUCCUGUGCUGUCACCAAGCCCAUGGCAUCCUGCCACAAUCUCAGGGGACAUGGGACUCCAAGAUGACUGGGACAAGGAGCUGCCUGUAUCCCUGCUCUCCCUGUAAAGGGCCUCUCUAGAAUGAAGCCCCACCACCAGCUUCCUCCCCAUGCCAGCAUUGUACCAUGAGUUUUCCCCUGCUGUGCAUGUCCUGGAUACUGCAUAAGGAGAUGUUUGCAUGGACUGAGGGGUGCCUGGCCCACUAUACCCUGCUGCUGGUGAUCAGCACAAUGCCACAGGUGAAUCUGCACACUGCCAUGGGACGUUGAGCUUCGCCAGUAUAGAGGCAAGCCUGGGCUUCCCCACAAAUUCCUCUACCACCUGGAUGGCUACCUGUGGCUACAUUACAUGCCCUGCCACCCAGAGCUGAGGAAGACUUUGCUACUGACAGCAAUGCAUUCCUUGGCACAUUAGAGGCCCAUGCCCACCUAUCUUCAGGGGCAUAGGCUGCUCAUUGUAGUUUUGCACUGUCUCUUACCACCCUGCAUGCUGAGGGG